RNAcentral lists this ribosomal RNA (862 nucleotides) under uncultured archaeon. Its description in RNAcentral is "SSU rRNA". It matches the Rfam family "Archaeal small subunit ribosomal RNA", at positions 474 to 1337 of the family's 1478-position model. The record is from RNAcentral.
CACCAGCGCCACAAGUGGCAAUCGCGUUUAUUGGGCCUAAAGCGUUCGUAGCCGGUUUGGCAAAUCUUUUGUGAAAGCGUCAGGCUUAACUUGACGAGUGGCAGAAGACACUACCAAACUAGGGACCGGGAGGAGUCAGAAGUAUUCAAGGGGGACCGGUAAAAUGGUAUAAUCCCUUGAGGACUACCGAUGGCGAAGGCAUCUGACUAGAACGGAUCCGACGGUGAGGAACGAAAGCUAGGGGAGCAAACCGGAUUAGAUACCCGAGUAGUCCUAACCGUAAACGCUGUGAGUUAGGUGUUGCACAAACUACGGGUUUGUGCAGUGUCGAAAAGAAGUUGUUAAACUCACCGCCUGGGAAGUACGGUCGCAAGGCUGAAACUUUAAGGAAUUGACGGGGGAGCACCACAAGGGGUGCAGCGUGCGGUUUAAUCUAACUCAACGCAGAGAACCUCACUAGGGGCGACGGCAGGAUGAAGGUCAGUCUGAAGGGCUUACCUGACGAGCCGAGAGGUAGUGCAUGGCCGUCGUCAGCUCGUGCUGUAAAGUGUCCUCUUAAGUGAGGCAACGAGCGAGACCUGUAUCUACAAUUGCUAACAACUGCUUGCAGGAUUGAGCACAUUGUAGAGACUGCCCUGGAAACAGGGAGGAAGGUGCAGGCUACGGUAGGUCUGUAUGCUCCGAAUCUCCUAGGCUACACGCGCGCAACAAUGGUAGGGACAAUGGGAUGCAACUCCGAAAGGAGAAGCUAAACCUCUAAACCCUAUCUCAGUCCAGAUUGAGGAUUGCAACUCAUCCUCAUGACGACGGAAUCCCUAGUAAUCAGAAGUCAUCAUCUUCUGGUGAAUAUGUCCCUGCUCCU